RNAcentral lists this ribosomal RNA (461 nucleotides) under uncultured Actinomycetes bacterium. Its description in RNAcentral is "bacterial SSU rRNA". It matches the Rfam family "Bacterial small subunit ribosomal RNA", at positions 959 to 1420 of the family's 1533-position model. Lineage: Bacteria; Bacillati; Actinomycetota; Actinomycetes. The record is from RNAcentral.
ACGCGAAGAACCUUACCUAGGCUCGACAUGCAUUGAGAACUGUUAGAGAUAACAGGUCCCGCAAGGGCUUUGCACAGAUGGUGCAUGGCUGUCGUCAGCUCGUGUCGUGAGAUGUUGGGUUAAGUCCCGCAACGAGCGCAACCCUCGUCUUGUGUUGCCAACAGGUAAUGCUGGGAACUCACAAGAGACUGCCGGGGUCAACUCGGAGGAAGGUGGGGACGACGUCAAGUCAUCAUGCCCCUUAUGUCUAGGGCUGCACGCAUGCUACAAUGGCCGAUACAAAGGGCUGCGAUACCGCAAGGUGGAGCGAAUCCCAUAAAGUCGGUCUCAGUUCGGAUUGAGCUCUGCAACUCGACCUCAUGAAGUUGGAGUUGCUAGUAAUCGCGGAUCAGCAACGCCGCGGUGAAUACGUUCCCGGGCCUUGUACACACCGCCCGUCACGUCACGAAAGUCGGUAACAC